RNAcentral lists this ribosomal RNA (254 nucleotides) under uncultured bacterium. Its description in RNAcentral is "partial 16S ribosomal RNA". It matches the Rfam family "Bacterial small subunit ribosomal RNA", at positions 524 to 776 of the family's 1533-position model. The record is from RNAcentral.
UACGGGGGGGGCAAGCGUUGUUCGGAAUUACUGGGCGUAAAGGGCUCGUAGGCGGCCAACUAAGUCGGAUGUGAAAUCCCCAGGCUUAACCUGGGAACUGCAUCCGAUACUGGUUGGCUUGAAUCCGGGAGAGGGAUGCGGAAUUCCAGGUGUAGCGGUGAAAUGCGUAGAUAUCUGGAGGAACACCGGUGGCGAAGGCGGCAUCCUGGACCGGCAUUGACGCUGAGUGAGCGAAAGCCAGGGGAGCAAACGGG